This is a non-coding RNA of Tribonema minus, 74 nucleotides long. The record is from the annotation of a GenBank genome assembly. Lineage: Eukaryota; Xanthophyceae; Tribonematales; Tribonemataceae.
CGGGACGUAGCGUAGUUUGGUAGCGUAUCUGUUUUGGGAACAGAAGGUCAUGGGUUCAACUCCCAUCGUCCUGU